CUGUCGUCAGCUCGUGCCGUGAGGUGUUGGGUUAAGUCMCKCNAACGAGCGCAACCCCCGGGGCCAGUUACUGUGUCUGGCCCGACUGCGGCGACAAACGCCGAGGAAGGUGGGGAUGACGUCAAGUCAGCACGGCUCUGACGCCCUGGGCGACACACACGCUACAAUGGGCGCGACAACGGGAUGCGCAAGCCGCNAAGGCGGAGCCAAUCCCANACAAAGGCNGCCCUCAGUUCAGAUCGGNCGUCUGCAACCCGACGCCGUGAAGGCGGAGUUGCUAGUAACCGCGA
Molecule: ribosomal RNA, 290 nt
Filed under: uncultured bacterium
Lineage: Bacteria
Description: partial 16S ribosomal RNA
Rfam family: Bacterial small subunit ribosomal RNA
Source: RNAcentral